Pyrus x bretschneideri (Chinese white pear) is the source of this 792-nucleotide long non-coding RNA. RefSeq lists it as uncharacterized. The record is from RefSeq and is a predicted model, not a curated record. NCBI's taxonomy places the organism in Eukaryota, Viridiplantae, Streptophyta, Magnoliopsida, Rosales, Rosaceae. The transcript is spliced from 3 exons.
UGCACCCACUCUGACUUGAAUUCUCUUUAUACAUAUAUUUUUCUUCCUAUUUUCGAGUAUUUCGGUUUAAGUUGUGAUUUUAAAUUUCGGGACGAAAUUCUUUUAAGGGGGGUAGAUUGUAACAACCCGUCCCGGAAUUUACGUAAGAAAAUGGGUAUUUUUGUAUUUUCACUAAGUUUGGGGGAUACCUUCCUUUUUAAAAUUGUUUUUGAGCCUUAAUUGGUGAGCCCAAGGGGCCCACCCCCUGUUUUUGUCCCCCGGUUCCUCCCCUUUCCCAUUUCUUUUCUUUUUUUUCUGAAAAGUCUUCUCCUCUCUUCUCUCUUUCUUCCUCCAUGCUCUCUCCUUUCCCCCCCUCUCGGUCCGACAAGAACACACACACACACACACCCAAGCCCACACCUAUAGCUCUUUUCGAACCCCAUGGUUCUGUUUUGGACGUCAAAUCACGAAGAAACCACCUCGGAGACAUUUCCCAGUUUUCCGGCAAGCACCGUCCCUUUCGAGGCGAUUUCCGGCCAAACCACGGCGAGUUGGCCGGCGUGCAAGUUUCCGGCGGACACCCGUGGCUUCCAAGCUGUUUUCCGGCCAACUCCGGCCACAAUGACGGGAACCAAGGGGGCGAUUAUCUGUGGCGUUUCCUUCUUUGCUAGAUGGCGUGGCUUUUCAACGGUGAAGUACUGUGAGUGGACCCCUUCUAAAAAUGCAUGUUUUGAUAGUAGAAAUGCAUACAUGAAAAGAAUGAUUUGAUGAUUAUGUUUUAUGAAACGUUUUACGAGAUAACAUGCUUACUGA